RNAcentral lists this ribosomal RNA (433 nucleotides) under uncultured bacterium. RNAcentral describes it as "partial 16S ribosomal RNA". It matches the Rfam family "Bacterial small subunit ribosomal RNA", at positions 29 to 507 of the family's 1533-position model. The record is from RNAcentral.
AACGAACGCUGGCGGCAUGCCUAACACAUGCCAGUCGAACGAGACCUUCGGGUCUAGUGGCGCACGGGUGCGUAACGCGUGGGAACCUGCCUUUAGGUUCGGAAUAACUCAGAGAAAUUUGUGCUAAUACCGGAUGAUGUCUUCGGACCAAAGAUUUAUCGCCUUUGGAUGGGCCCGCGUUGGAUUAGCUAGUUGGUGGGGUAAAGGCCUACCAAGGCGACGAUCCAUAGCUGGUCUGAGAGGAUGAUCAGCCACACUGGGACUGAGACACGGCCCAGACUCCUACGGGAGGCAGCAGUGGGGAAUAUUGGACAAUGGGCGAAAGCCUGAUCCAGCAAUGCCGCGUGAGUGAUGAAGGCCUUAGGGUUGUAAAGCUCUUUUACCCGAGAUGAUAAUGACAGUACCGGGAGAAUAAGCUCCGGCUAACUCCGUG